RNAcentral lists this long non-coding RNA (541 nucleotides) under Mytilus galloprovincialis (Mediterranean mussel). The record is from RNAcentral. Lineage: Eukaryota; Metazoa; Mollusca; Bivalvia; Mytilida; Mytilidae.
CCUUCCUUUUAUGGUCAUAAACCUUGUGUUUAAAUUUCAAAGAUUUCUAUUUACUUAUACUAAAGUUAUGGUGCGAAAACCAAAAAUAAUGCUUACUUGGGCCCCUUUUUGGCCCCUAAUUCCUAAACGGUUCAGACCUCAACUACCAAAAUCAAUCCCAACCUUCCUUUUGUGGUCAUAAACCUUGUGUUUAAAUUUCAUUGAUUUCUAUUUACUUAUACUAAAGUUAUUGUGCGAAAACCAAGAAUAAUGCUUAUUUGGGCCCUUUUUUGGCCCCUAAUUCCUAAACUGUUUGAAAUAAAACUCCCAAAAUCAAUCCCAACCUUCCUUUUGUGGUCAUAAACCUUGUGUCAAAAUUUCAUAGAUUUCUAUUCACUUAAACUAAAGUUAUAGUGCGAAAACCAAGAAAAUGCUUAUUUGGGCCCUUUUUGGCCCCUAAUUCCUAAAAUUUUGGGACCAAAACUCCCAAAAUCAAUCCCAACCUUCCUUUUGUGGUUAUAAACCUUGUGUUAAAAUUUCAUAGAUUUCUAUACACUUUUAC